RNAcentral lists this ribosomal RNA (622 nucleotides) under uncultured bacterium. RNAcentral's name for it is "bacterial SSU rRNA". It matches the Rfam family "Bacterial small subunit ribosomal RNA", at positions 335 to 965 of the family's 1533-position model. The record is from RNAcentral.
ACUCCUACGGGAGGCAGCAGUGGGGAAUAUUGCACAAUGGGCGAAAGCCUGAUGCAGCGACGCCGCGUGAGGGAUGACGGCCUUCGGGUUGUAAACCUCUUUCAGCAGGGAAGAAGCUUAAUCGUGACGGUACCUGCAGAAGAAGCACCGGCUAACUACGUGCCAGCAGCCGCGGUAAUACGUAGGGUGCGAGCGUUGUCCGGAAUUAUUGGGCGUAAAGAGCUUGUAGGCGGUUUGUCGCGUCUGCUGUGAAAACUCGGGGCUUAACCCCGAGCCUGCAGUGGGUACGGGCAGACUAGAGUAUGGUAGGGGAGACUGGAAUUCCUGGUGUAGCGGUGGAAUGCGCAGAUAUCAGGAGGAACACCGAUGGCGAAGGCAGGUCUCUGGGCCAUAACUGACGCUGAGAAGCGAAAGCAUGGGGAGCGAACAGGAUUAGAUACCCUGGUAGUCCAUGCCGUAAACGUUGGGCGCUAGGUGUGGGGCUCAUUCCACGAGUUCCGUGCCGCAGCUAACGCAUUAAGCGCCCCGCCUGGGGAGUACGGCCGCAAGGCUAAAACUCAAAGGAAUUGACGGGGGCCCGCACAAGCGGCGGAGCAUGCUGAUUAAUUCGAUGCAACGCGAA